CUCCAGGAUAGAAGACUCUGAAACUGGUUUGGGCCAGAAAGCCAUGCUUCAUUUAGUCACAAAGGACUUUUCCCUAACUUUUGAACCCCUGGUCUGAUUCGUGCCAUUUUUUAAUAUGUUGUUCCCCUGAAUGGAUUGAUUGUGAAUAUGUAAUUUUAUGUGAAUGUGAUGUAUGGUUUUAGAGUUAUGAAAGUUGGGUAGAAAGUAUGUUUUAACUGUAUGUGUAAUUGAGUUUCCUCUCAGGAUAAGGGGAGGGAAUAUGUGGG
Molecule: non-coding RNA, 266 nt
Organism: Pelobates cultripes (western spadefoot toad)
Lineage: Eukaryota; Metazoa; Chordata; Amphibia; Anura; Pelobatidae
Source: the annotation of a GenBank genome assembly